Molecule: long non-coding RNA, 457 nt
Organism: Triticum dicoccoides
Lineage: Eukaryota; Viridiplantae; Streptophyta; Magnoliopsida; Poales; Poaceae
Exons: 2
Source: RefSeq, a predicted model, not a curated record
CAAAUCCAAACGAGAGUGAAUACACAAACAAGAGCACAGACGUAUGGAGGGGAAAACUACUCUAUGUUUCCUCACGGUGCUUCUGCUGCUAGGAAAUUGUGCUGAUGCUGAGACCUGCAAAGAGCACCGUGCUAACAAGGGCGCAGCGUGCAUAAAUGAAGGUUGUUGGGCAGACUGCGCCAGAGACUACCAUGGACAUUAUGUCAAGAAUGCUUAUUGUACCGGCGUUUACCCCUUCACAAAAGUCUAUUGUGUCUGCGACGUUUGUGAAGAGUAGGAGACAAUGCAACAUCGCAUUACGGGGUCCAUUUACACAGAGGAUUCUUGAAGUUUGGCAAUAAUAAAUUUUGUCUGUGUAAACGUGUGAACAUGAUUACUGCCUAGCUAGUUAAUUUGUAACGUGGUUGUUUUUGCAUGAACACCAUCAUGUUUUAUUCACAGAUUCCGUGUGCCUUCA